AUGGAUAGUCUUCUCCAUUGGGACUUUUCCCCUAGUUUGGCGAUUGAAUCUCAGGUACGUGCCAAGUUCCAAUCUAUAGUGCACUUCUCAUCGGCCAACCCCGGAUCGAAGGAAUUCUUCCUCGUGGUUUCAUUCUCAUCGGCAUCAUUCACGUUAACGGAAGAAUCUGUGGAUCUGGCCUUACAAUCAUGUAUUGGUGGAAUCAGUUCGGGAUUUAGGGUUUUGAGGCUCAGUGACCGUCGUUUUCGGUUUUCUGUGGCUUCCAAUAGAGUUGGUCAUUUCAUCUAUGGUCUUAAGGAUUGCAUUUGGCCCGAUUUCAUUUGUCAUUUCCAUCUCUACUGUGGUGAUCCUUCAUCUCUUGAUUAUUCGGAGAAUCAGUGGCAUGUGGAUGAACAUCUUCCGGAGGUUCAUAUGCAACCAAUGGCGAUUCGAUCUACCUAG
RNAcentral lists this ribosomal RNA (441 nucleotides) under Triticum aestivum (bread wheat). RNAcentral describes it as "partial small subunit ribosomal RNA". The record is from RNAcentral. Lineage: Eukaryota; Viridiplantae; Streptophyta; Magnoliopsida; Poales; Poaceae.